UGGGGAAUUUUGGACAAUGGGGGCAACCCUGAUCCAGCGAUGCCGCGUGUGUGAAGAAGGCCUGCGGGUUGUAAAGCACUUUAGUUGGGGAGGAGAAGGUGCGUAUGAAUAGUGCGCGCUGGAGACGUUACCCAAAGAAUAAGCACCGGCAAACUCUGUGCCAGCAGCCGCGGUAAUACGUAGGGUGCGAGCGUUAAUCGGAAUUACUGGGCGUAAAGCGUGCGCAGGCGGCGACAUAAGACAGAUGUGAAAUCCCCGGGCUCAACCUGGGAACUGCGUUUGUGACUGUGUUGCUAGAGUGUAGCAGAGGGGGGUGGAAUUCCACGUGUAGUGGUGAAAUGCGUAGAUAUCGGGAGGAACACCAGUGGCGAAGGCGACUUCCUGGCCUGUUCUUGACGCUGAGGCGCGAAAGCUAGGGGAGCAAACGGGAUUAGAU
This 436-nucleotide ribosomal RNA is filed under the name uncultured bacterium. RNAcentral describes it as "bacterial SSU rRNA". It matches the Rfam family "Bacterial small subunit ribosomal RNA", at positions 355 to 783 of the family's 1533-position model. The record is from RNAcentral.